AUUGAACGCUGGCGGCAGGCCUAGCACAUGCAAGUCGAGCGGAUGAAGGGAGCUUGCUCCUGGAUUCAGCGGCGGACGGGUGAGUAAUGCCUAGGAAUCUGCCUGGUAGUGGGGGAUAACGUCCGGAAACGGGCGCUAAUACCGCAUACGUCCUGAGGGAGAAAGUGGGGGAUCUUCGGACCUCACGCUAUCAGAUGAGCCUAGGUCGGAUUAGCUAGUUGGUGGGGUAAAGGCCUACCAAGGCGACGAUCCGUAACUGGUCUGAGAGGAUGAUCAGUCACACUGGAACUGAGACACGGUCCAGACUCCUACGGGAGGCAGCAGUGGGGAAUAUUGGACAAUGGGCGAAAGCCUGAUCCAGCCAUACCGCGUGUGUGAAGAAGGUCUUCGGAUUGUAAAGCACUUUAAGUUGGGAGGAAGGGCAGUAAGUUAAUACCUUGCUGUUUUGACGUUACCAACAGAAUAAGCACCGGCUAACUUCGUG
Molecule: ribosomal RNA, 484 nt
Filed under: uncultured bacterium
Lineage: Bacteria
Description: partial 16S ribosomal RNA
Rfam family: Bacterial small subunit ribosomal RNA
Source: RNAcentral